This 904-nucleotide ribosomal RNA is filed under the name uncultured bacterium. RNAcentral's name for it is "bacterial SSU rRNA". It matches the Rfam family "Bacterial small subunit ribosomal RNA", at positions 1 to 885 of the family's 1533-position model. The record is from RNAcentral.
UAGAGUUUGAUCCUGGCUCAGAAUAAACGCUGGCGGCGUGCCUAACACAUGCAAGUCGCACGAGAAAGCCUGUUUUCGGAUGGGCGAGUAAAGUGGCGCACGGGUGAGUAACGCGUAGGCMACCCACCCCCGCAUUCGGGAUAACAGUGCGAAAGUGCUGCUAAUACCGGAUACGACCCGAGACCGGGAGGUUUCGGGUGAAAGUCGGCCUCUGAUAUAAGCCGGCGUACGGGGACGGGCCUGCGUCCUAUCAGCUAGUUGGCGGGGUAACGGCCCACCAAGGCUACGACGGGUAGCUGGUCUGAGAGGAUGAUCAGCCACACUGGCACUGGAACACGGGCCAGACUCCUACGGGAGGCAGCAGUGAGGAAUUUUGCGCAAUGGCCGCAAGGCUGACGCAGCAACGCCGCGUGGGUGAAGAAGGCCUUCGGGUCGUAAAGCCCUGUCAGGCGGGAAGAAAAGCCCUGAGUUUAAUGGACUCGGGGACCUGACGGUACCGCCAGAGGAAGCACCGGCUAACUCCGUGCCAGCAGCCGCGGUAAUACGGAGGGUGCGAGCGUUAUUCGGAAUUACUGGGCGUAAAGCGCGUGCAGGCGGCUCGACAAGUCUGAUGUGAAAGCCCUGGGCUUAACCCGGGAAGUGCAUUGGAAACUGUCGGGCUUGAGUACUGGAGAGGAAGGGGGAAUUCCCGGUGUAGAGGUGAAAUUCGUAGAGAUCGGGAGGAAUACCAGUGGCGAAGGCGCCCUUCUGGACGGAUACUGACGCUGAGACGCGAAAGCGUGGGGAGCAAACAGGAUUAGAUACCCUGGUAGUCCACGCUGUAAACGAUGGGCACUAGGUGUAGCGGGUACUCAUUCCUGCUGUGCCGUAGCUAACGCGUUAAGUGCCCCGCCUGGGGAUACGU